GAUGAACGCUGGCGGCGUGCCUAAUACAUGCAAGUCGAGCGAACAGACGAGGAGCUUGCUCCUCUGACGUUAGCGGCGGACGGGUGAGUAACACGUGGAUAACCUACCUAUAAGACUGGGAUAACUUCGGGAAACCGGAGCUAAUACCGGAUAAUAUAUUGAACCGCAUGGUUCAAUAGUGAAAGACGGUUUUGCUGUCACUUAUAGAUGGAUCCGCGCCGCAUUAGCUAGUUGGUAAGGUAACGGCUUACCAAGGCAACGAUGCGUAGCCGACCUGAGAGGGUGAUCGGCCACACUGGGACUGAGACACGGCCCAGACUCCUACGGGAGGCAGCAGUAGGGAAUCUUCCGCAAUGGGCGGAAGCCUGACGGAGCAACGCCGCGGGAGUGAAGAAGGGCUUCGGAUCGUAAAACUCUGUUAUUAGGGAAGAACAAAUGUGUAAGUAACUAGGCCCCUCUGUACCGGUCCCUAACAAGAAGGCACGGGCUACCUCCUUG
Molecule: ribosomal RNA, 498 nt
Filed under: uncultured bacterium
Lineage: Bacteria
Description: partial 16S ribosomal RNA
Rfam family: Bacterial small subunit ribosomal RNA
Source: RNAcentral